Molecule: non-coding RNA, 376 nt
Organism: Oncorhynchus mykiss (rainbow trout)
Lineage: Eukaryota; Metazoa; Chordata; Actinopteri; Salmoniformes; Salmonidae
Source: RefSeq, a predicted model, not a curated record
GAUGUAAUCUAAUCCGUCUGUGUAAUAUUAUCCUAGCUGGUUUCCCACUGGUGAAGAGGAGGAAGAGGAGGACCAACCCAACCUGUUGUCUGUGGAGUCUGGUCCUGACGUUAGGGUGAAGCUGUAGCAGUGCAGCUGUAGAAUACAGGGAGCUGAGUGUGUAAGGCUGUGUGUGUUGGCUUUCACACUGGGCAGGACUUCCACUUGUCAGACAUAUUCCAAUAUUACACUUUUAUGUUGGUAACUUCCCCCAAAUAACUACUGUUCAGACUGUAUUAAUGCAAUAACACAAUGAAUGUACACAUUUAAUUAUUGUCAACAAAGCUACAAUAAAAUAAAAAACAUUUAGGUAAUAAAAUCAUAGAAUGAAACUGUU